RNAcentral lists this unclassified non-coding RNA (335 nucleotides) under soil metagenome. Its description in RNAcentral is "partial contains 5.8S ribosomal RNA, internal transcribed spacer 2, and large subunit ribosomal RNA". The stretch from base 1 to 119 matches the Rfam family "5.8S ribosomal RNA", at positions 35 to 154 of the family's 154-position model. The record is from RNAcentral.
GAUGAAAACGUAGCGAAAUGCGAUAAGUAAUGUGAAUUGCAGAAUUCAGUGAAUCAUCGAAUCUUUGAACGCACAUUGCGCCCGCCAGUAUUCUGGCGGGCAUGCCUGUUCGAGCGUCAUUUCAACCAUCAAGCCCCAGGCUUGUGUUGGGGACCUGCGGCUGCCGCAGGCCCUGAAAACCAGUGGCGGGCUCGCUGUCACACCGGGCGUAGUAGAUUUUAUCUCGCUCAGGGCGUGCUGCGGGUUCCGGCCGUUAAAAAGCCUUUUUUACCCAAGGUUGACCUCGGAUCAGGUAGGAAGACCCGCUGAACUUAAGCAUAUCAAUAAGCGGAGGA